This 208-nucleotide long non-coding RNA is filed under the name Elaeis guineensis (African oil palm). RNAcentral describes it as "long non-coding RNA (EGUI_LNC063132)". The record is from RNAcentral. Lineage: Eukaryota; Viridiplantae; Streptophyta; Magnoliopsida; Arecales; Arecaceae.
CCCGAAAAAACUACUUGGAUAUUUCAUAUCUGGCAGUCCAGCUCUGUUCUCCAUAUAAUUCCUUAAGAUUAAGGAGUAUGGAUUGAGAAUCCAUUUUCUCAUGUUGCCUCUGUAGCUUGUUAUUCAUGAAGGCCAACAUGAUGCACUUAACAGUAGUACUAUCAUUCUGCCAUAUCUUAUAUGUGGCACUCUCCUCCUCGAUAGCAUC